CUGGAUGGACAUGGCUUCUUGGAAGGCGACCCUCCUUUCUUGUUAAAUCUACAGGGGUUUUUUUGUUUUGUUUUAUUUUGUUUUAGGCCAUGCAUGCAAGGCAUGCGAAGAUCUUAGUUCCUUGACCAGAGAUUGAACCUGUGACCCCUGCAUCAGGAGCAUGGAGUUUUAACCACCAGACCACCAAGGAAGUUCCUAAAUCUUCAGUUUUUAUGGACAACCUGCUUGGGAUGAGACAGAGAGGAAAGCCUCCCAUUGAAGACCCCUGGCUUCCUUGAUGAUAACUUCUCUAUGAUGGAUCCGAGGAUGAACUUUGGAGACAAGGUAUAUUCUUUUUUUUUUAUCUCUUUAUUUUGAAAUAAUUUUAGGCUUGCAAGACUAGUGCAAAG
This is a long non-coding RNA of Bos indicus x Bos taurus (hybrid cattle), 389 nucleotides long. The record is from Ensembl. NCBI's taxonomy places the organism in Eukaryota, Metazoa, Chordata, Mammalia, Artiodactyla, Bovidae.